Molecule: long non-coding RNA, 1408 nt
Filed under: Anser brachyrhynchus (Pink-footed goose)
Lineage: Eukaryota; Metazoa; Chordata; Aves; Anseriformes; Anatidae
Description: lncRNA (ENSABRG00000021395.1)
Source: RNAcentral
GCCACAGUAAAAUGAUACCAGAAUCUUUACAACUGCUAUCCAGAGCGUUUCCUGCUAUCCAGCAAAAGGAGAGUCGUUGGACCAAUCUUUCAUCCAAACAGACCUACAGCACUUUGUUUACAUUACCAACCACAGGGACUAUAACAACAGCCUAUGACAAAGACAAAGAUCUACCAACAUGUUACUAUGCAGAAGCAGGUAUCUUGAAGGCAGAGGGCCAGGAUGUGAGCCCAGGUCUGCCUCCCAUGCCUCCAUCUCACAAUGAGAAGCAUGCAGCUCUUGCCUUCUUGCCUGCAUCAGUUGCUGGCUGCCAGAUCAGCUCCUGGAGGCCAGGGGCAUCUGAGCACACUGAACUGGAACCAGAUUGACUGCCAGCCAGCUUGGAGAGGGGGGAACCACAAACGCUUUAAAGCCUUCACUUCCUCUUCCAUUUUCCAGUCCUUUGCCAAGGGCAGCUCAUUUAGUCUGGCGAAUCUAGCCACAGGAAUCUGAAAUCUAUUUAAAGAUGUACGUUUGUGAAAGGAUAGUGAUCCUGAUUUGAUCUUAACUCAAGCACAUUUUUAGGUUUGACUUCACCAGGGUCCAAAACCACAGAGUUUUAGGCUCCGUAAACAAACCGAGGAUUACUACCUGCUAUGGUAGGGUGAACAAAGUACUUUCUUUGAGAGCAUAACUGUACUAAUCCUGCAGUUUGCAUUCAUAAAGAGAUUGCAGUUGUUUGCUGUUACUCUGGACCUAGACUGACUUUAGGUUUGUUUAGAGGCCAGACUGGGAACUUUAAGAAAUCCCCACAGCUACUGCCUUCCUCUCCAGCCUCUGUGGUGUUUCUUUUUCACAUUUUCUGAGACAGAAAAAGGUCAGGAAAGUUAGCUUUUUAUUGGUGGUACAACUCCACUCAUAAGCUUGGGUUGAUAAACAUAAAACACUGAACUUGCACUUAAAGUGUUCCAGCGGACCUCAGAUUUAAUUCUAGCAGAAGAGCUGUAAAGUAUUUUGAGCUCCCUUGAUAACUAACUUUCAUGAUUUAACUGUAUAAAAGAAUACUUUAAAAACACAAAAAUGACUUUUUAAACUUUCCUGAAGUUAAAUCAUUUGAAUAAUAAUAAUACAGGAAAAAUCUUUUAACCAUUAGAAUUAUAAUUGUAAUGUGUCUUCAUUUGGUUAAUCCUCAAUUAAUUUGUUUCCAUAUGAUUAAUUAGUCUUUGCUAUGUUUAUUAACCCUGUUUUAUAUUGCCAAACAAUUUGAAGCAUGUAAAAAACCUAUUCUUCUUCACAUAUAUCUUCUAAAAUUUAAAGAAGGUAAUUAUUGUGUUAAUGUAACUUACAGUUCUGUGUUUGAUCAUUCCAAAAAGACCUUGGCUUUCCUCCAAUCAUUUUCAUUUUGAUGAAAUAAAAUAUUAAAUGAGAA